UUUCCACCUAAUAUAUGAUUUUAUUUAAGCAUUGGUGGUUUUGUUAAAUUCUUUUGUUAUUUUAAAAUAGUUUCCAUAACCCAUUCCUAACUUUAUUUCUAUUAAAUGUAUGUUUUAGUCACUAUUAUUCUUACAUUGUUGACAAUUUCGCUGUUAUGUCAAUGGAAUUUCGGUCGAACGCAGGGUUGCCAGGUCUUCGAAAUAAAUCCAGCUCAACUGCCAAUCAAAAGUAUUCCAAACUAUCCAUUUAAACUGCGACAAGCGUAGCAAUAUUCCGCGGGAAAAACGAGGACUUGGCAACACAUACGUGUCUGUGGCGUAUGUUAACGAAAGUUAGCGUAGUGGAACGAACAAAAACACACGUAGUCACGUUGUACUCUAAUAACCGGGAUCGCCCAAGACGCAUUACGUAUAAAGCGGAAGUAGUUGCGUAAAUAGUAACGUUAAUAUCAAAUAACAAUUGCCAAGCAACGAAAUCAUGUUUAAACCAGAUACAAUCAACGAAACAAUUAGCGCUUAUGAAGAGGAUAUGAUCACUGGAUUUGCCGAAAUAUAUCAGAAUGCGUAUGGCUGGGCUCCAGAGGGAGGACAGGACAGAGAUCAGCACUGACAGGGCUGUGCAGGGAAGGGAUGGUGAUGGUGCUUUAUUACAGCGGCCGACAUGUCUGGACACGCCGCUCUGUGCCUGAGUAUUAAAGCACAGCUGUGAUUGAACACAGAGAGAGAGAGAGAGACGAUGAUGUCACUGGUUCCCGUCAGCGAUGAGAAUCAGUGGAACUGAAUGAUCCCGGUUUAGAUUCCUUACACGAUAAGUUCACUUCCAGAAUACAAAAUUCCCGAUAAUUUACUCACCCACUUGUAAUCUAAGAUGUUCAUGUCUUUAUUUCUGCCGUCGCA
Molecule: long non-coding RNA, 897 nt
Organism: Carassius gibelio (silver crucian carp)
Lineage: Eukaryota; Metazoa; Chordata; Actinopteri; Cypriniformes; Cyprinidae
Exons: 2
Source: RefSeq, a predicted model, not a curated record